CCUACGGGUGGCUGCAGUGGGGGAUAUUGCACAAUGGGGGAAACCCUGAUGCAGCGACGCCGCGUGAGUGAAGAAGUAUUUCGGUAUGUAAAGCCCUAUCAGCAGGGAAGCAAAUGACAGUACCUGACCAAGAAGCCCCGGCUAACUACGUGCCAGCAGCCGCGGUAAUACGUAGGGGGCAAGCGUUAUCCGGAUUUACUGGGGUUAAAGGGAGCGUAGGCGGUUAGGUAAGUCUGGAGUGAAAUGCCGGAGCUUAACCCCGGAACUGCUUUGGAAACUGGGCAGCUCGAGUGCAGGAGAGGUAAGUGGAAUGCCUGGUGUAGCGGUGAAAUGCGUAGAUAUUAGGAGGAACACCAGUGGCGAAGGCGGCUUACUGGCCUGUAACUGACGUUGAGGCUCGAAAGCGCGGGUAUCGAACAGGAUUAGAUACCCCUGUAGUC
This 440-nucleotide ribosomal RNA is filed under the name uncultured bacterium. RNAcentral describes it as "partial 16S ribosomal RNA". It matches the Rfam family "Bacterial small subunit ribosomal RNA", at positions 338 to 795 of the family's 1533-position model. The record is from RNAcentral.